GCCGGGUGUGGUGGCGCAGGCCUGUAAUCCCAGCUACUUGGGAGGCUGAGGCAGGAGAAUCACUUGAACCUGGGAAGUAGAGGUUGCAGUGAGCCAAGAUUGAUUGCACCACUGCACUCCCGCCUGGGUGACAGAGUGAGACCCUGCCUCCA
RNAcentral lists this signal recognition particle RNA (152 nucleotides) under Nomascus leucogenys (northern white-cheeked gibbon). Its description in RNAcentral is "Metazoan signal recognition particle RNA". It matches the Rfam family "Metazoan signal recognition particle RNA". Rfam says of the family: The signal recognition particle (SRP) is a universally conserved ribonucleoprotein. It is involved in the co-translational targeting of proteins to membranes. The eukaryotic SRP consists of a 300-nucleotide 7S RNA and six proteins: SRPs 72, 68, 54, 19, 14, and 9. The record is from Rfam by way of RNAcentral. Lineage: Eukaryota; Metazoa; Chordata; Mammalia; Primates; Hylobatidae.